AAUGAACGCUGGCGGCGUGCCUAACACAUGCAAGUCGAGCGAGAAAGUUCCUUCGGGAAUGAGUAAAGCGGCGGACGGUCGAGUAACACGUGAGAAUCUACCCUUUAGUGAAGAAUACCUUCGAGAAAUCGAAAUUAAUACUGCAUAAGUCCCUUCGGGGAGAAAAGUGGCCUCUUUGCUACUGCUAAAAGGAUGAGCUUGCGGACUAUCAGCUAGUUGGUGAGGUAAAGGCUCACCAAGGCUAUGACGGUUAGCCGGCCUGAGAGGGUGAACGGCCAGACUGGAACUUAGACACGGUCCAGACUCCUACGGGAGGCAGCAGUGAGGAAUAUUGCGCAAUGGGCAAAGCCUGACGCAGCGACGCCGCGUGGAGGAUGAAGGUUUUAGGAUCGUAAAACUCCUGUUAAGUGGGAAGAAAAGUCUGUGGUUAAUACCCGCAGAAAAUGACGGUACCAUUAUAGAAAGCACCGGCUAACUACGUGCCAGCAGCCGCGGUAAU
RNAcentral lists this ribosomal RNA (499 nucleotides) under uncultured bacterium. RNAcentral describes it as "bacterial SSU rRNA". It matches the Rfam family "Bacterial small subunit ribosomal RNA", at positions 29 to 524 of the family's 1533-position model. The record is from RNAcentral.